AGUGAACGCUGGCGGUAGGCCUAACACAUGCAAGUCGAACGGCAGCACAGUAAGAGCUUGCUCUUACGGGUGGCGAGUGGCGGACGGGUGAGGAAUACAUCGGAAUCUACUUUUUCGUGGGGGAUAACGUAGGGAAACUUACGCUAAUACCGCAUACGACCUACGGGUGAAAGCAUGGGAUCUUCGGACCUUGCGCGAUUGAAUGAGCCGAUGUCGGAUUAGCUAGUUGGCGGGGUAAAGGCCCACCAAGGCGACGAUCCGUAGCUGGUCUGAGAGGAUGAACAGCCACACUAGAACUGAGACACGGUCCAGACUCCUACGGGAGGCAGCUGUGGGGAAUAUUGGACAAUGGGCGGAAGCCUGAUCCAUCCAUACCGCGUGGGUGAAGGAGGCCUUCGGGUUGUAAGGCCCUUUUGUUGGGAAAGAAAAGCAGCAGGUUAAUAACCCGCUGUUCUGACGGUACCCAAAGAAUAAGCACCGGCUAACUUCGUG
RNAcentral lists this ribosomal RNA (492 nucleotides) under uncultured bacterium. Its description in RNAcentral is "partial 16S ribosomal RNA". It matches the Rfam family "Bacterial small subunit ribosomal RNA", at positions 29 to 507 of the family's 1533-position model. The record is from RNAcentral.